This is a long non-coding RNA of Ictalurus punctatus (channel catfish), 2193 nucleotides long. NCBI's taxonomy places the organism in Eukaryota, Metazoa, Chordata, Actinopteri, Siluriformes, Ictaluridae. The record is from Ensembl.
AUAUAUAUAUAUAUAUAUAAAAUAUACAUUUAGUGAACAAACUAUCUGCAAAACAGUAGUGCAAUAAACAAAAAAAAGGUUGAACUGAGUUUGAUGAUCUGUUUCUAUAAUACCUACAAAGACUAAGAAGAUUAGGUUUAAAAAAUGACGUCGAAUCAAUGCCAUCUGUUCAGUCCCAUUUAAUUUGUAAUUAUUACAAAUAAAUAAAAAUAUAUCACCAACGAUAUCUCAGAAAAGUGUAUCACAUAAUCAUUGAUCAAGUUAUCGAUAUAUCUCCCAGCUCUACACAUACAUGUGUAUAUUUAACUUUUCAUAUUUUUACUAUUUCUACUGAUCAUAUUUCGGUUACAUGUCAUGUUGUGUACCUUCCAUUGUUGCACAUUUCAGGUAGGUUUGUCUUAAUAAUGCCACACACAGACACACACACACACACACACACACACACAAACACACUAUAACCAAGUACAUGACAAAAGGACUGUCUUUUAUUUCUACUUUUCGUCCACUAGGGGGUGAUAUAUGACUGACACUGGGUCAUGUACCAUCAGAGAGAGAGAGAGUAUGUGUGUGUGUGUGUGUGUGUGGCUACCGAUGUGUAUGAUUUGUGUAAUCCUUCGGUCAAGAAAUGAACUUUGUUCUCUUCUACUGAAAUAAAGACCAAAACCAUCGGUGUUAUUCAUUGUGGAGAGUGAAGUGACAAUAUGUCUGAAGAAAAUGAAAAAUAUGUAUUACAUAGCCUACCUUCUAAACAGGGUACUUAAGGGGUGAAAAAACCUUCUUAAAAAGAUGGUGUUUUAAAAGAAUCGUGCGUUUUGUUUAAACUAUAAACAAGUUUUUGGAAAAUGGUUCACCAAUGAGGAUACUUACACAGAACUGUCGCUGAAUACAUAAGACUUUGUCUAUGGUUUGACGUCCCAUGUCCCCACUGGCUGACAGUUUAGUCGUGUACAUUUAUGACCUCUGUAACACUGUUAGAUCUGAAUGUGUGAUCUUUCCUGGCAGUUGUCUGUCUGUGUGAGAGAGAGACGUGUGAUUUCUGGGGGUUUUGCUGACCAGAAUGUUUACAAAUGUGUAUAUGUUAAUGAAUUAAGGACAGAGUCGUGCGUCUCAGUGUUUAAAUAAUGAUUAAGACGUUGUAGUUAAAACACAGAAGAAACUCUGCAGCUAUCUGUUACAAUGUCUGCUCGGAGAAAUCCUAAUUCCCUUAGAGGAACGCUGUGUAUUCACCAACAAGAUGACCUGCUGAAAUGAGGGAGGACCUGACUUCUGCUCCAAGAAAAAAAAAAACAACAUGUUAGUUUGACAAUUUCUUCAUGAAGAUAUUGUAAAGAUGUUGUUGAGAAAAUUCAGCUUGCUCUUUGUUCCCAAAUAACAAUGGACCAGAUCCAUAGUUUACAGCAUCUGUCCCACACGUGUUUAAUCUGUAUUACGAGUACUGAACAGGUUAGAGGAAGAGAACAUAUAGAUUUACUGUUCAUUGGAACUUUAUUGUUUAUUUGGAUCUGUCUCGAUUCAUUUUCAUAUUCAGGUUUUUUCUAUUCAUGUCAUUAUUAUUUUUUAUGAAGUACCUUCAACCUAGGAGAGUCUGGCAUCUAACAUAACGUAUGAAUGUAGGAACAGGGAUUUUCACCAUGCGCUCCACCGGCACACUCGUUGAAAAGAAAGUCAAACAUGUUAAAUGUUCAAAGGUCAGGCAGUGCCGGAGAAAGGAAAAUAAAAACACAUCACCUGUUUAAAUUAUAUCUAUGAUCAAGUUCACAUUCAGUUAAGAAAUGAAGCUUCUGUUAAGGCUAUGUCUUCCACAGAUGUCUUCAGAAGAAAUUGAUGACCGAUUCCCUAGGUAAUCUGAUGCUGUUGUAGUUUUGGGAGUACUAUGUGAAUACAGCAAGAAGCUUCAUCAGCUAUACAUAAUCUUUAUUUCCCGUAGUUUUAUAUAAAUGUGAAGUCAGGUGCUGCCAUAGUGUGUAGAGAAAUUAAGUUCAAUUUUUAUUUAUUUAGUUUGACCUUGAUAUUGUUAAAUGAAAAUGCUCACUUUAUUAUGAAUAAUGAUUACCCUGAGCCUGUGUAGGAUAAACAAUUUGGAAAAUGGUUGUAUAAUUAUUACUUGUAAUGGGUCUAUGUCUUAGACAUAAUACAUAGCAACAAUACAAUGACCAACUUUUGUUUUUUAUUAAUUGAAAUAAUAGAAAUGUG